Long non-coding RNA from Melanotaenia boesemani (Boeseman's rainbowfish), 101 nucleotides. RefSeq lists it as uncharacterized. The record is from RefSeq and is a predicted model, not a curated record. NCBI's taxonomy places the organism in Eukaryota, Metazoa, Chordata, Actinopteri, Atheriniformes, Melanotaeniidae. The transcript is spliced from 4 exons.
UGUUAGAGAUAAGUUUAGAGUGUUUGGCUCUGCGAUGGACUGGUGACCUGUCCAGGGUGUACCUUGCCUCUCACCUGCCAAAUGCUGGAUUAGGGUUCAGC